AAUAAAAAUAAGGAGAGACUACAUUUACACU
Molecule: non-coding RNA, 31 nt
Filed under: Mus musculus (house mouse)
Lineage: Eukaryota; Metazoa; Chordata; Mammalia; Rodentia; Muridae
Source: RNAcentral